This 1095-nucleotide long non-coding RNA is filed under the name Cyanistes caeruleus (blue tit). RNAcentral's name for it is "lncRNA (ENSCCEG00000003433.1)". The record is from RNAcentral. Lineage: Eukaryota; Metazoa; Chordata; Aves; Passeriformes; Paridae.
CAUGUGCAUUUUGGUAAGACCAUGUCCUGGCCUAAGUAGGUCAGCAGUGGCAUGGCCUGGCAGGCUUCGUUUCCUCAAGCUCCUUAGCAAACAGCCCAGUGUGCCACUAUGUUUUCACUUAGCGUGGUGUACUUCCACUUGAGGGUGGUCAGCUCACUCCAAACAGAUGUGGCCCCUGCACGAUGAAGUUUUGCCCCAUCCACAUGCUUUCUGUAAGAAUCAUACAAGCUAAGAACAUCAAGUCAAGAGACCUGUGGACAGUUCCACUUUCGUGCCAAAACCUUGCGGGGCAAUGUUAUUCACUGCUUGAUACCAGUCUGAAGUAUUUAGGCAUCUCGGGCUGCAGUAGACUAUAACAUCCUAACAGCCCUUUGUGGAGCCAGCUGUAGUUUCAGUUUAACUUUUUAACAUUGUUGACUGGAAUUGUAAGGACUAUGCCUGAGGAAUGGUCGGACUUUCCUCUUUCUCUUCACAUGGCGCUCCUAGCGUACUUUGCCUGUGCAUGUGUACAUUUGCAGUUUGUAGUUACUCAGGAAUUAGAUGGUUUUCCUUGACUAGCCCUACUGUUCAUCUAUAAUAUUGCCAUCAGGUUUUUAAUUUUUCUCUGCUGCAGUGACUGCAUCAGUUGGCUCAACUGUGCUAAAUAACUUAAGAAAAGCUUGCUUAACAGACUGGUUUGCACAGAACAGUGGACAUAAGAAAUAGGUUUUUCUCAGUGAUUUACAGACAUUGGUGAUGUAAAUGCCUGUAUCUAAGGGCUCCCUUUGUAUUGGAAAUUUAUAAUUGUACGAGCUCUGUUCUUUGGGUGGGUAGUGGGUGCAGAGCACUGGCAUAUUUUCUUUCUUGGGAAUGUUCUACUAGCGCUCUUGAAGGAAAAGACAUUAUUCUUACUGCUCUGCUGUGAAACAGUUGCAAAAAUCUAUAAUAAUGGAUGACAUGCAGUUCACAGUUCUUUUUAAUGUUGCUAGAAUCAGACCUGGGGAGACAGUCCGUGAGACAUUUGCUUUGAAAUCAGAGGAAGGGCUGAAAUUUUUUUUGUGACUUCAUGAAUCUCUUUUUACAAAUUCAGAAAAUGAAGCAGCUUCUCCCUCAUGC